This 538-nucleotide ribosomal RNA is filed under the name uncultured bacterium. RNAcentral's name for it is "bacterial SSU rRNA". It matches the Rfam family "Bacterial small subunit ribosomal RNA", at positions 9 to 543 of the family's 1533-position model. The record is from RNAcentral.
GAGUUUGAUCACGGCUCAGAUUGAACGCUGGCGGCAUGCUUUACACAUGCAAGUCGAACGGUAACAGGGAGCUUGCUCCGCUGACGAGUGGCGAACGGGUGAGUAAUGCAUCGGAACGUGCCUAUUUGUGGGGGAUAACGUAGCGAAAGUUACGCUAAUACCGCAUACGCCCUGAGGGGGAAAGCGGGGGAUUCGUAAGAACCUCGCGCAAUUAGAGCGGCCGAUGUCGGAUUAGCUAGUUGGUGGGGUAAAGGCUCACCAAGGCGACGAUCCGUAGCGGGUCUGAGAGGAUGAUCCGCCACACUGGGACUGAGACACGGCCCAGAUCCUACGGGAGGCAGCAGUGGGGAAUUUUGGACAAUGGGCGAAAGCCUGAUCCAGCCAUGCCGCGUGAGUGAAGAAGGCCUUCGGGCUGUAAAGCUCUUUCAGCCGGAAAGAAAUCGCGCAGGCUAAUACUCUGCGUGGAUGACGGUACCGGAAGAGAAGCACCGGCUAACUACGUGCCAGCAGCCGCGGUAUACGUAGGGUGCGAGCGUUA